This is a long non-coding RNA of Bombus impatiens (common eastern bumble bee), 325 nucleotides long. RefSeq lists it as uncharacterized. The record is from RefSeq and is a predicted model, not a curated record. NCBI's taxonomy places the organism in Eukaryota, Metazoa, Arthropoda, Insecta, Hymenoptera, Apidae. The transcript has 2 exons.
UUUUAUAAAGAACUGAUUUAUUAAAAGAUGAAUACGUUUAUAUUUUCAUUAUACUGUUUAGUGACUCUCUCGUUAAUUAACUCAAAAACAGUAUCGCCAAUAACAAUACCGGUUGUAUGAUUUAUAAUAUCAAUAGAAAUUGAUACCACUGAAAUAGGGUAAAUAUAUGUAUAUAUAUAUGUAAAAUAAGAAUGGGAACGAGAAUGUGAUGGCGGCAUCGCUUUUGAGUUAUCUAAUGAGAAGAUCAUCUUAUAUUAGAACUUUAUAACAAUAAUAUUUACCAUUAUAUAAUCAUAUGCACAGCAAAUUGAAGCUAACAUAGGAA